Molecule: transfer RNA, 54 nt
Filed under: Mongoloniscus sinensis
Lineage: Eukaryota; Metazoa; Arthropoda; Malacostraca; Isopoda; Agnaridae
Description: tRNA-Cys
Source: RNAcentral
AGGUUUAUUUAUCUCUUAGACUGCAAACCUAAGUAUGCGUUUCGCUAAAACCUU